UCCUUCAGGGAACCUCUCCCUUAAAAAUUUCUGCUCCAAGGAGACAUCAGUGGAGCUUCUCUUCCCUACUGAACAGUAUGUUUUGUCACUCUGGGAUCUCAGUUGGGGCCCCUCUUAGGAUCCAGUGCCCUAAAAAUUUCUGGUAUGGUGUUCAGACAGGGCUUGUCCCAACAAGGGAGGGAGACACAGAAUUGUGGGCUUAGCUUGGAAUGGAAAUAAUAAUACCCAGCACUGAUUGUGUUCUAAUUAUGCAGUAAGUAGUGUCCCAGGCAUUUUACAUUGGUAUCGUCCCGUAUAAUUCUUACUACUAUCUUCAAAGUAGCUACAUUAUCGCGAGGCCCUGUUCGACAUGAAGAAAUGGAGGUUAGAGAGCUGCCCAGGUCCCCCAGGUGGUCCAGUUGAAAGGACCAGGCUGAUCUGAUUGCUGAGCACCCGAGUUCUGGACAGGUACAGAUCGGUGUUCACCAAGGGUCUUCCCAGUGCAUGCCCGGCCGGGGCCCCACUAUGGCAACGCAGAAGCCGACCUUGGCCAAGCUCUGGAAGAGGCAGCCCUCCCACAGAACCUUCGGAACACACACAGCAGGCAUGGUGUGUCGCCAUUGGUCCUGUAGGGCAGAGAGAGGAAAAGUCGACCUUCAGGUCCUGGAAGCCCUGGUGGGACCCAGUGGCCAGCCUUGGGAGAGCACUCAGGCUGCACCGCCCCCCAGGCUUGCUCCGAUGGUCAGUGGGCAGCAGAGGGAGGAGGAAGCGGAGGAGGGAGAGCUGUGGGAGGAGGAAAAAGGGUUACUGUCCUCGUGACUGUUUUGGGGUCUGACAAAGAGGCUUGUGGCUUGGCAGCGUCCUGAGGGCUGGAAUUUCUGGGGUCCAAGGUAUCAUCACAACAAGGUAACUACUUCUACUACUGUUAUCAUUGCAAAUAGUAGCUAAUGCUUCUUGAGCACUUAAAAAGUGCCGGGUGCUCUGUAACUGCUUUAUAUCCAUCUCUCCAUUCAAUCCUUUUUUUUUUCCCCAUGCCACGUGGUAUGUGAAGUUUUCGUUCCCCAACCAGGGGUCAAAUUCAUGCCCUCUGCAGUGGAAGCAUGGCAUCUUAACCCCUGGACCACCAGAAAAGUCCCCAUUUUAAUCCUUUCAGUGUAGAGUUAUAUGUACCCCAUGUACAUGUGAGAGGCUCACAUAUGUGCAGUUAGGCCCCUGACUACAAUAUUCCACCCACCUCUGCUUAAUUUUGAUUCUCUAGUUGUUCAUCUGGGGGCCUGCUAGGUGCCAGACUCUGUUGGACCCUGAAGUAUACAAACUGGUGUGAUACAUUCUCUGCACUGUCUCAGCAGGAUAGUAAUCAAUUGCCUGCUUAUUCAAACCAAUGUUCAUUGUUCUAUGUCAUAUUUUAAGGUGCUCCAAAUAGGUAAAUGUGUAAAUAAAAUUUCAUUUGUUUUGCUGUUCAGCAGAACUUGGUAAGUUAGGUUCACUAAAAUUUAGACUAAAUUAACAAAAAGGAAAAAGAACUUUGAAAGUUAUCUUUGGUUCCACGAUCACGUUGAACCUGUUGACAUCGGAGCACAGGACUUUUUAAAGAAUACAUUCACAUGUGACCACCACAGAAGUAGGUACUCAAAGAAAAAUUAAAUUGUUAUAAAAUAACACUAUAUUGUUUUGUAAACUGUACCCUCCUUCACACACUUGAUAAUCUAAUGAGAUCAUGUUCAAGUAGCACAGCUACUUCUAAUGUUUUUUUCAUCAUUAGAGGGUGAGGUGGUAUGUGUAUCAAUUUUUUUCCAUAUAGUUUGCAUUUCUUUUGUGAAUGUCUUAUUUGUAUCUUUGGCCUGUUUUUUCUUUGGUUUGUUAUUCUUUAUGGCCACUUAUUUUUCAAGGAAUUAAAAACGUUUUUCCGAGUUUAUGCACAAAAUUUUAAAAGUCAAAGAUAAUUGAAAGUUUUACAAUGAAAUAUAGCAUCCCUCGUCCUUUCAUUCUUCCCCUGAGUUUCCCAGAAAUAGCCCUUUCAACUCUUCCAGCUGUUUCUUUCGGU
Molecule: long non-coding RNA, 2023 nt
Filed under: Capra hircus (goat)
Lineage: Eukaryota; Metazoa; Chordata; Mammalia; Artiodactyla; Bovidae
Description: lncRNA (ENSCHIG00000002777.1)
Source: RNAcentral